Molecule: long non-coding RNA, 1892 nt
Organism: Chrysolophus pictus (golden pheasant)
Lineage: Eukaryota; Metazoa; Chordata; Aves; Galliformes; Phasianidae
Source: Ensembl
AUUAGAACCGAUUGCGGGCAAAACUCAGUCCGAGUCACGGAGUUUCUAAUGUUACAAGGAAGCAGAGUAAAAGUUCAGCAAGUGCGAUGGGGCGUAGAGAGGAAUGAAGGGGAGGCAGGCGGGUCCAAGAACAGAUUACGCGAGGAGCAGCUGUUCGCUUCCUUUUCAGGAGAAGCGGUAAUGUUUCCUCAGUGAUUUGCCUCUAGUCAGAUAAACACAGCUGGUGGUAAGAGAUUCGUCAGGCCGGGCAGAGCUACACAUCUGCCCGAAAGAGGAAGGCAAGUGCUCUACAGAUGAAAACAAGUCAUGGUGCUCAUCUCAAGGAUUUCAUUUCUCAAACAACAUCAAAACACACUGAAGAUAAUUUAUGGACCACGUAACAAGAACAGGAGCAGGCCCAGGUACCCCAGGACCUCUGACCUCCUCACUGCUGUCUCACAGACUAACCACAUGGAGCUCGUUUGGUCAUGUUGAUGUUUUUGUGACAUUGGUGGUGCUUUGGUAUUUGACGUUGUGGGUUCACCUUCACCCAUACCUGGAACUGUUUUUUCUGAGUUCACAGUUUUGUGACUGAAAGUUUGGAGAAGUAACCAAUAGCCUUCAAAGGUAAUGUGAGUAUUGACUGUGAUUUACUUCAGGUAAUCCUUCAGGUGGGCACUGACCUGCAUCUUUGUGCUGGAGAGUAUCUGUUAAGGAGUCCUGCGACUUGCUGUCCUUUAUCGCACUGCACUGCUUUAUCAUUUAUUUAAUACUGUACUUGUACUCAAACACUUUUACAAAUAUCUGGAUCUUGAAAUUUGUUGCCAGAUUCUGGAGCAUUCAUCCUUCUCAUCCAGUGAAAUUAUCUGCUCUCCUCAAGUGAGUAAGACAUAAAAAUUUCCUUGUGUUUUUCCUUGCGUCUGAAACUUCAGUUUCUACAAAAAUCUGAAGGCUACUUCUGAGGGUGACAGCUGUGCUAUUUUGUUUUCUGUUAUCAGUGUUUCUUUUUCAUUAAUGUUUAUGUUAUUUCUCAGUUAACGUGGCAGCCCAACAUUUAGGUAAAAGAGAAUCUGAUUUUAUUUAGAAGGCAUUUUAUUUAUUUGAGGCUAUUCUAGAUGACUUGUUUAAGGGAUGUAUCACAUCUUAACUGAUGACUUCAUCCUCCUCCUGUACAAUUACAGUUCUACGUAACAAAGAGAUGGCUAUAUGUAUCCAAGGGAAAUGAAAUUACAUAAGCAGAAAAUUAAGCCUGUAUAGUAUAUAGCAUAUAAAUACUUUUGACUGGUAAGUAGAGAGAUUUCCAAUGUGUUCUGAAAUUUUGGUCCUUGGACCAAGGCAAAAAAAUGAUCACCUCAAGGUAAAAUACAAGUCUCUUGUCCUUUUAAAAAUUAGUAGUUAUAUAUAAAUGGGUGAUGAUGUUAGAGCUCCUUGCUUUGAUUUAUCUUAUGAAUUAAAUUUAUCAGCUGCAAAAUUUGCUGCAUCAGAAUUUUCACAAUGAUCCCCCCUCAAAGAGAUGGCAUCUAAUGUGCUGAAGUGAAGGCUGAUAUCAAAAGGGUUUGAAGCUCAAUUUAAAGUGCUAAUCAGAGGUAUGUCUGCAACCAACAACUGCUCUUACAGUAUUUCUGGCUUGGCUUAUAGUAAUGCUGCAUAAUGAUUUAUAGCGAGAGUUUUAUAAAACCUCUCUCGUACAGAAAAGACUUCAAGGGAGGGGGUGAGGCUUCUUUACUUAGUUCCUUUCAGUGGUUCAGCACUCUGCAGAGGCCUUCUAAAAUGCCACGGAUAUUAACAUUUACACAAGCACAGCUGGGAUGCAAUUUUUUUCCUGGCAUCUUUCAUUCAGAUAUAAAAUAGGUGCCAGGACAAUAUUAAGAAGUAUAUUUUUGAAGAAAUAAAGUCUUGAACUAAGGUCUUCA